Molecule: long non-coding RNA, 331 nt
Organism: Melospiza melodia melodia
Lineage: Eukaryota; Metazoa; Chordata; Aves; Passeriformes; Passerellidae
Exons: 2
Source: RefSeq, a predicted model, not a curated record
AGCUCUUCUAGGAGCUGUACACUGAAAGGGGCCUGAAACAGAUACCCUGUAAUUUACAUCCCUGCUUAGUCCCUCGGUGAGGAAAGGCAGCCUUUGCUCCAAAUUGACGUGUCCUCUGCCGGCACUGAGGAGAACUGUACCGGAGAAGAUGUAGGACCUGUGUCAGGGUACUUGAUCCCUGGAUUUCAUCACACAUAACUUCACUGCAACUGCUUUGCUUUGCCCCUUGCUCAACAGCAAAGAGGCACCCCGACUUCAGAGCUUUGUAUCUGUGCCCAGACUUCAAGGCUGACAUACCUCAACAUUGAGAAUAAAGUGAAAAUCUCCUUUA